This 443-nucleotide ribosomal RNA is filed under the name uncultured bacterium. Its description in RNAcentral is "partial 16S ribosomal RNA". It matches the Rfam family "Bacterial small subunit ribosomal RNA", at positions 338 to 795 of the family's 1533-position model. The record is from RNAcentral.
CCUACGGGUGGCUGCAGUGAGGAAUAUUGGUCAAUGGACGAGAGUCUGAACCAGCCAAGUCGCGUGAAGGAUGACUGCCCUAUGGGUUGUAAACUUCUUUUAAGAGGGAAGAGCAGAAGACGGUAUCCCUUGAAUAAGCCACGGCUAACUACGUGCCAGCAGCCGCGGUAAUACGUAGGUGGCAAGCGUUGUCCGGAUUUACUGGGUGUAAAGGGCGUGCAGCCGGGAAGGCAAGUCAGAUGUGAAAUCCCGCGGCUCAACCGCGGAACUGCAGUUGAAACUGGUUUUCUUGAGUACCGGAGAGGUCAGCGGAAUGCGUGGUGUAGCGGUGAAAUGCGUAGAUAUAAGGAAGAACACCGAUGGCGAAGGCAGAUGACUGGACGGCAACUGACGGUGAGGCGCGAAAGCGUGGGGAGCAAACAGGAUUAGAUACCCCGGUAGUC